Molecule: ribosomal RNA, 497 nt
Filed under: uncultured bacterium
Lineage: Bacteria
Description: partial 16S ribosomal RNA
Rfam family: Bacterial small subunit ribosomal RNA
Source: RNAcentral
GAUGAACGCUGGCGGCGUGCCUAAUACAUGCAAGUCGAGCGAACGGACGAGAAGCUUGCUUCUCUGAUGUUAGCGGCGGACGGGUGAGUAACACGUGGAUAACCUACCUAUAAGACUGGGAUAACUUCGGGAAACCGUGGCUAAUACCGGAUAAUAUUUUGAACCGCAUGGUUCAAAAGUGAAAGACGGUCUUGCUGUCACUUAUAGAUGGAUCCGCGCUGCAUUAGCUAGUUGGUAAGGUAACGGCUUACCAAGGCAACGAUGCAUAGCCGACGUGAGAGGGAGUGCGGCCACACGGGAACAGAGACAGGGCCCAGCCUCCACGGGAGGGAGCAAGCGGGGAUUCUUCGGCAAGGGGGAAAGGCGGGCCGGAACAACGCGGGGGGAUGAAUAAAGGUGUCGGGAGCUAAAAACUCUUUUAUAGGGAAAAAACAUAUGGUUAAUUACAUGUGCACAUCUUGAGGUUACAUAAUAAGAAAGCCACGGCAAACUACGUC